Molecule: long non-coding RNA, 1471 nt
Organism: Peromyscus eremicus (cactus mouse)
Lineage: Eukaryota; Metazoa; Chordata; Mammalia; Rodentia; Cricetidae
Exons: 2
Source: RefSeq, a predicted model, not a curated record
UCUGAUCUAACUGAGCCAAACUGUGUUUCUUUCUGCCCUGAUCUGAGCUGUCUUUCCCUAGUUCUGGGCUCCAGGGUCAGGGUGGGUUUCUUUAGCCAGCCCCUUUUCCCUACAGCAUGACCCUUGGACACCAUCAUGGCCUCAGAUGUCGGCCCAGGUCCCAGGCAUCUGCACAGCCAUCAGUGGUGACAGGAGCCUUGACUGUGCACUCCAGGGCAAGAAAAACCUUGGCUACCUUUGAAAACGUUACAGGAAAGAAAAAAAGCUCAUAGACCCUUGCGCCUCUAUUCCUCAAAGACAGUCAGACCUAAGCCAGUCUGUAACCUACUACCGUGGAAAUGGCAUUCUAACAAGCAGAUGCUCUGAGCAAGAAUGUGAAUUAUUGAUGCACCAUAGCACUGUCACUAGCAGACCACGGAAUCUACUUAAAAAAUUCUUUUACAGACGUAGUUGAUUCUGCGGCAGCACUGGGUACCCUCAAAGCCACGGAUACACCAUGGAAACACUGAUGAAGCUGCUAACUGCUCUGUCCGUGUGUUCAUCGUAAAUGUCAUUAUUCAAGAAAUUUAAGAACCGUAAUGAUGGGAAAUCACACAGAAAGAAAAGAGGAGGAACGGAAACUCUGUCAGCAACAAGGGCGACAUUUUUAUUCAAGAGGUCCCUAAUGAUGGAAAAUCACAGUGAAGGCAGAGACGAAACUGGGUUUCCAUAAAGAACCCAACACAUACCAGUCGUACGCGCAGGAGAACAGCCGUAACAGACGCAUAAAAAGAAAGAAAAACAAAAUUAACGAGACAAGUUGUACCAGGCCUGACACACAAAACAGCAACAAAUCACAGCACAUUCUGAAGAUUAAUUUCAACGCAUCUUCUGAAAUAAGCAGGGAGACAGACAGCAUCAAUAUUAAUGAUGCUGGAAUGGAACUCCCUGAAAGAGCCACGGCAGAAAGCAGCACAUGAAAAUGUUUUGUUUUUAAAUGGGUUGUAGAUUGGAUCACAGGACCAUCAGGAAAAUGAAGGGACAUCUAUAAGAACAUCAUAACAGGGCCAGCUGUGUGAUGAGCAAUUACAACAUCAUCGUUAAAGUCCCCAAUGUAAAAGAAAAACAUCAGUGUGGAAAUCAAAGGAAUGUCAACAGUCUGCAGAUGAGGUAGAGGAAAGGAAAGAAUGGAUGUUAUUGAGACUCAAUUGCCUGCACUGUGUCUAUAUUGACUAUCCUUGAUAAAACGGACAAUAGGCAUUUGGAGAAAAAUGAGAAUUUGAUUCAUCUUGGAUUGCACUUGCUCCCCUGCAAAUCGUCGGGUAAGGCAGGCUGGGAGUCAGCCCAGAGCUUCCGGUGCUUAAGCUGUUGCUGGUGGCAGAUACUUCUGGACAAUGUGUCAAGUGUCAUGGGUUCCUACAAAUCUGCAGAUGUGUCUCUUAUGUCUUGUAUAGCUCAAAAUUAAAACAAGUAGAGUUACAAUGUGUAAUAA